UUGCUUCCAGUAGUCUUGAUAGGUGCAU
This 28-nucleotide small RNA is filed under the name Bombyx mori (domestic silkworm). RNAcentral describes it as "ovarian small RNA-37960". The record is from RNAcentral. Lineage: Eukaryota; Metazoa; Arthropoda; Insecta; Lepidoptera; Bombycidae.